GAUGAAGGAAAUCUUGGGUUCCCCCAAUUACCAGGUCAAGGAUACUCUUUUCAUAGCUUUCGAACAAACACAUACAAACUGAGCUUUAUGGAGAGUCCCUCUGGGAUUAUGAAUGAGGAAAUCUUCGGUUGCCCCCAUUACCAAGUUCAGGAUGCUCUUUUCAUAGCUUUCGAACAAACACAUACAAACUGAGCUUUAUGGAGAGUCCCUCUGGGAUUAUGUGCUGAUGGAGGAAAUCUUGGGCUCCCCCAAUUACCAGGUCAAGGAUACUCUUUUCAUAGCUUUUGAACAAACACAUACAAACUGAGCUUUAUGGAGAGUCCCUCUGGGAUUAAGGUCAAGGAUGCUCUUUUCAUAGCUUUCGAACAAACACAUACAAACUGAUCUUUAAUGGGAAAUAAAAAAACUCGGGGGAAAUUUUAUAGACUGUAUAUGGAAAUAAACUUUAUUUAUUAGGACUCUAUGUUAUAAGGAUGACUUAAAUUUUUAAUUCCUAAUUUUAAAAUGGCAAAACUUGUCAAAAUAUAGAA
Non-coding RNA from Amborella trichopoda, 530 nucleotides. The record is from RefSeq and is a predicted model, not a curated record. Lineage: Eukaryota; Viridiplantae; Streptophyta; Magnoliopsida; Amborellales; Amborellaceae.